Molecule: long non-coding RNA, 686 nt
Filed under: Prunus persica (peach)
Lineage: Eukaryota; Viridiplantae; Streptophyta; Magnoliopsida; Rosales; Rosaceae
Description: long non-coding RNA (PPER_LNC006459)
Source: RNAcentral
GAAAAUUAAGUGUAUAUAUAUAUAAGAAAAGUAAAAAGAAAUUAAUGCAGGUAAGGGUAGAAUUGGAGAAAGAAAGAACAAAAUGGGUCGUUUGGUACUGUAGACUGUUAUGGCUGGACUAAAUUCUAUGACUGUAUUGGAUUAGCCUGGAUUAGCUUAUGCUGGAUUUUAAUUUUUUUUAUUUUUAUAAUAAUCAAUUUUGUUCUUUUAUGCUAUGUUUGGUAGGCCUUACUGGACUGGACUGGGUUAAAUAACACUUGAAACUCUUGUUUAGUAAGAGGGGGGCUAACUUAAAUGAUAUUAUAUAGUCCAACAGUAAUAAAAAAUAUAAAAAAAAGCUCACUUGCUCUUCCAAUGUAAUGAGGCUGAAAUAUGGCUAACAAAAUAGCGAGGCUCAGAGAGAGAGAGAGAGAGAGAAAUCAGAGAAAAAGUGUGAGAUUGAAAGGGAGAGAGAACAUAAGAGAGUGAGUUCUUCACUAAUUAAAUUUAAAUUUAAGUAUUUAAAUAAUUAUUUUUUGGUCCGACACAACACCAAAUAUAGAUAUUAACUAUUUUUACAAUCCACCUUCUUUUUUGUUUAUACUUUGAGAUCAUAUACGCCAAAAAUCAGAAAAGAUAAACAUUCAGUGAUCAAGUAAUGGGACAAAACUUUUGACAGUUAUAAAUGAAAAAUCACGAUUUAACGG